RNAcentral lists this ribosomal RNA (114 nucleotides) under Bacillus sp. FJAT-27225. The record is from RNAcentral. Lineage: Bacteria; Bacillati; Bacillota; Bacilli; Caryophanales; Bacillaceae.
UCUGGUAACUAUGGCGAGAAGGUCACACCCGUUCCCAUCCCGAACACGGAAGUUAAGCUUCUCAGCGCCGAUGGUAGUUGGGGUGCAAACCCCUGUGAGAGUAGGACGNCAGGC